UGAAAGGUGGACAUGUUUUGGGACU
Molecule: non-coding RNA, 25 nt
Filed under: Rattus norvegicus (Norway rat)
Lineage: Eukaryota; Metazoa; Chordata; Mammalia; Rodentia; Muridae
Source: RNAcentral